This 75-nucleotide small RNA is filed under the name Siansivirga zeaxanthinifaciens CC-SAMT-1. Its description in RNAcentral is "Flavo-1 RNA". It matches the Rfam family "Flavo-1 RNA". Lineage: Bacteria; Pseudomonadati; Bacteroidota; Flavobacteriia; Flavobacteriales; Flavobacteriaceae. The record is from Rfam by way of RNAcentral.
GAGUAGUUGCGUUAAGGAUUGAAGCGGCAUCCUUUUGCUUUUUUGCAAAAGAUAUAGCGAAAAGCCUGACUUGAG